Molecule: transfer RNA, 86 nt
Filed under: Candidatus Peregrinibacteria bacterium
Lineage: Bacteria; Candidatus Peregrinibacteriota
Description: tRNA-Tyr
Rfam family: tRNA
About the family: Transfer RNA (tRNA) molecules are approximately 80 nucleotides in length. Their secondary structure includes four short double-helical elements and three loops (D, anti-codon, and T loops). Further hydrogen bonds mediate the characteristic L-shaped molecular structure. tRNAs have two regions of fundamental functional importance: the anti-codon, which is responsible for specific mRNA codon recognition, and the 3' end, to which the tRNAs corresponding amino acid is attached (by aminoacyl-tRNA synthetases). tRNAs cope with the degeneracy of the genetic code in two manners: having more than one tRNA (with a specific anti-codon) for a particular amino acid; and 'wobble' base-pairing, i.e. permitting non-standard base-pairing at the 3rd anti-codon position.
Source: RNAcentral
GGGCGGAUAGCCAAGCGGUCAACGGCGACAGACUGUAAAUCUGUUCCCUUACGGGUUCGGGGGUUCGAAUCCCUCUCCGCCCACCA